UGCGUAGGCUGUCUGAUAAGUCAGACGUGAAAUCCCUCGGCUCAACCGGGGAACUGCGUUUGAUACUGUCGGACUCGAGUCCUGGAGAGGGUGGCGGAAUUCCUGGUGUAGGAGUGAAAUCCGUAGAUAUCAGGAGGAACACCGGUGGCGAAGGCGGCCACCUGGACAGGUACUGACGCUGAGGCACGAAAGCGUGGGGAGCAAACAGGAUUAGAUACCCUGGUAGUCCACGCGGUAAACGAUGGAUGCUAGGUGUCGGGGAGCGAUCUUCGGUGCCGCAGCUAACGCAUUAAGCAUCCCGCCUGGGGAGUACGGUCGCAAGGCUGAA
RNAcentral lists this ribosomal RNA (328 nucleotides) under uncultured bacterium. Its description in RNAcentral is "bacterial SSU rRNA". It matches the Rfam family "Bacterial small subunit ribosomal RNA", at positions 568 to 898 of the family's 1533-position model. The record is from RNAcentral.